Long non-coding RNA from Biomphalaria glabrata, 866 nucleotides. RefSeq lists it as uncharacterized. The transcript is spliced from 2 exons. Lineage: Eukaryota; Metazoa; Mollusca; Gastropoda; Planorbidae. The record is from RefSeq and is a predicted model, not a curated record.
CCAUUCCAUUCUCUAAUGGCAAUAGGGAAGGAGCACUUGUAGGCCUACGAAUUUGUUCUAGCGUAUGGAAUAAAACAUGUGCCUCUAUCAUUGUGUCAUUCUGAGUAUUUUAUUAGAAUCGUUUUUUUUUAAUUAGUACCAUGUUCCUUCAGAACUGAAGAUUAUUACAUCCUUUAGUCCAAACCUCAGACAGGAUGGCAGGGUUCUAUCCUGGAACCAUCAAGAUGAUAGUUUAAAUGACAUAAACAUAAUAAAAUAGCCAUCCCAACAACGCAGCUCACCUGAGUGUUAUCAAGGAUGUUCACGCACUACUUGCACAAAGGAAUCCCAAGCAAUAAAAGUGGAUUGAUUUUUGUUUUGUAUAUUUCAUGUUGCAUUAGUUUGUUAAGUUUCAAAGCCAAUAAAAAAUCUAUUUUAGACACAGAGUUCAAUGAUCUAUACUUCUUCAAUACUGGUGAAAAAAGCAUUUCAAUGACAAUCGAGAGCAUUUAAAAAACAUUCUUUUCAAUGGUCUUCUUCUUCUUCCACAUUUUCAUGUUGGAGCGUUCAGAUGACUAGACCAAUAUACUGUAUGAGAUGAACUGCAAAGCGGUUUCCAAAUCAGGGAGAUAACCAUAUAGUUUUCUUUCUAUGGGGGUGUUUUGGGGCCAGGGUCUUGUACUGCCUCUUGGCAAAGAGAACAGUUUUGUAGGACAUGGUCAGCAUUCUCUGGUGAAACUCCACAUGGGCAGAUUUCACAAAAGGUGGUCAAAAGAUAAUAAAAAUCAAUCAAGUUUCAACUAGGUUUUAUUACAUUAUGAAAACAAUCUAGAGUAAAAGACACUUUCAUAAGUUCUCAGUUUAACACACAUUCAGUCCAUUGUUUU